This 1849-nucleotide long non-coding RNA is filed under the name Gossypium barbadense (sea-island cotton). Its description in RNAcentral is "long non-coding RNA (GBAR_LNC022533)". The record is from RNAcentral. Lineage: Eukaryota; Viridiplantae; Streptophyta; Magnoliopsida; Malvales; Malvaceae.
UCUCAUGUUUCUUCCUUAUCAAACAUACUCAAAUUUUAUUUUCUUUCCACUUUUCCAUUCUAUCUUUCUAUCCUUACAUUUUUCCACACAACCAAACACACUAAGGGCUACUUACAUAAGGUCAAAUAAACAAUUAGCAAUUGUAGUCUGCUAGAAAAUUUGUCAUCAAUGCCAAUGGUUCCAAGCCCUCCAUUACCAUGUUUGAGAUUUGUAUAACUAAUAAUGAAGAUAGAGGCAAAAACUAAACCCUCCAAUACCAUGUUCGGGAUUUGUAUAUCUUGACAAAGAUAGCAACAGAAAAUAAAAGUUUAAUUCAUAAUUUGGCCUCUCAAGUAUAUCUUUUUUCUCAUUUUGGUAUUAAAUUUUUUUUUAUCUCAACUAGGUACUAAAACUUUAAAAACGUUAUUUUUUUUGUCCAAAUGUAAAUAGAUGUCUAAAAAAAGAAUGGCCCAAUAAGAAGAAGCUCAACAUUUGAAUUAUUUAAUAUGUUGACUUUUAAACAUUAUAUAAAAUGACAAUAUCUAAGCCUCUUUUAGGAUGCCAUGGAAGAUAUUGUUCAGCCACCCAUGCUUCAGUAACUUAGGUGAUUUACUUACCCUUAUAUCAUGUAAUGUUUUUAUAUUGUUUCAUUACUGGAUCUUGGAAUAUUUACUGUCUACCAAGAAACACAGCUUCAUCUCAACCAGUCAACCCACCCUCCCAAGCUCAUCCAUCACGGCCAGCACCUACAAGACGACUAUCACUUGCAAGGAAUACGUCGUCGGGUAGAUGAAGAGGUAGAGAAAGAAGCAUGCAUAACAUUUUUGGAGUUGGAUUGAGAAAACAGGAAAGCAAAUCCUAAAUGUUAUCUUUCAAUGUCAGAACUGGUUGUUCAUUUUUGUGUCUGGGAAACUGUGUUUAGAAGUUAUUUUGUUUCAAGAAAGUCAAUUGAUUGUGGAACUUCCUACCACCUUCAGGUUAUGUUUCAUUAGAACUACGGCCAUUUCCUACUUAAUGUCUCUUUUCAACACCAAAAUUUGCAUUUGAUUAUAAAUAUUCAACUUAAUGAAGUUCCCAUUCCAAAUUUGUCUUUCUAUUCUGUUUGUGUUUGAUCACCUUCCUACUAUUUUAUUUCAUCAAAAACUAAAUAUUUAUUCGUUCAAAAAAACACUAAACAUUUCACCCAAAAUUUAAAAACAAAUUCAGACUUCUACUUCCCUCCACAUUACUUUGCUAAUAGAAAUCAUUACGUCACGUCCACCCUACAAAGAACUAUUCCAUUUGGUAUUCUAUACAUUCAACUAAACUAAGACUAACUAUUUAUAUAUAUUUUCUGGCUUUUACCUAUAACUAAAUAUUUCACCCAUAAUUAAAAUAAAAAAAUACAGACUUCUACUUUCUCUAAACCUCAACCAAUCAUUGACAUGAUUUUGUUACUAAUAGAAACCAUAAAACCUUAAACUAUUAAUGUUUUCAAAAUUUGUUUAAAAAUAAAAAUUGGAAUUGAAAUGAUACCUUUGUAGUUUGAACAUCCCAAGAACUUCUUCCCUUUACUCCAAGCCCCAAGGUCUAUCAGAACUACAUAUUGGUGCUUUCUUUCCACAAUGACAGUACAUCGGCCUUGAAUCGUUCCAUGAUUUAGAACUUUCGGUGAAAAUUUUCUACAAUUUCAAAUGAAAAGAAAAAUGAAGAUUUGAAUGAGACAAUAAGGGCUUAGAUUGAAUUUCAAACCCUAAAGGGAAAAGGGUACUGAACGACAGAGAGAGGCUACAGUGGUAAUUUUCAAAAAAAAUAACAAUACAUUUCAAAUAUUAUUUUCUUAACCUGGUCUUUUAAGAAAAUAUACAAACAUAUAAAAGCCACAAACACG